GAAGCUCAACAGAGGCAAAUGCAGGGUCCUGCACCUAGGGAGGAAUCAUGGCAUCCUACAUCCUGGGCUCCUCACGAGCAGGUUACAAACACCGGCGGAAACCAGCGGUGAGAUCCCCGCCUCCCCAGGGCCCGGCUGUGUAGGCCCAGGCAGAGGGUGCUGCUGGCUCCGCCCGCACCUCCUCAGCCGCCCUCACGAGGGCUGCCGGGCCCUGGCGGCUCCCUCGGCUGCCUCAAGGGGCCUCGGGACAGGAAAAAAGCCCUAAAAAAACGAAAAGCCCUGCCCGCCGCCAUCCCCAGCUCCACUGCAGCACACCGCUGCCCCGGAGCCCACCGUCUCCCGUCGGGGCUCUUUGUGCAGGUGCACAGCUCUUUCACGUCUUGACAGAGGUUCCAUUUCAGGGAAAUAUUAAAGCAGAAAUUUCAAAGGGACUUCAGAAAAUGCGUAAAGCUCACUGGAAUCAAGUUUGGGAGACAAGUUUCCACAACACAGUCGUUAUUGCUAUUAAAAAGUGAGGAUCACACCUACGCUGUCUGAUUUUGUCCAGUAGCGGUAAGUUUGCAUUGGUGCAGUGCUCACCCAAACAUUUUGACACAUAAUCACUUCCUGGGGAUUGUCCAUUACCUGUUUUGAGGCCAUGGCAUGUAUUGAGUUUAUGCCCUGUGUCUGUGUGCUGUCAGCAAUGAGCUCUCUGUGUUGGGAGCUUUGGCUAAUGUGUAAUGUAACUAGGUGUGCAGGUAGCUAUGCUGAUCUUAAUUAAAAUGCUGCAGUAUCAUCUGAAAGCUCCUUCAGUGUUUUAAGAGAGUAUUGUUGC
Molecule: long non-coding RNA, 814 nt
Filed under: Anser cygnoides (Swan goose)
Lineage: Eukaryota; Metazoa; Chordata; Aves; Anseriformes; Anatidae
Description: lncRNA (ENSACDG00005006407.1)
Source: RNAcentral